AUUGAACGCUGGCGGCAUGCCUUACACAUGCAAGUCGAACGGUAACGGGCCUUCGGGUGCCGACGAGUGGCGAACGGGUGAGUAAUGCAUCGGAACGUACCUUUCAGUGGGGGAUAACGUAGCGAAAGUUACGCUAAUACCGCAUAUUCUGUGAGCAGGAAAGCAGGGGAUCGCAAGACCUUGCGCUGAUUGAGCGGCCGAUGUCAGAUUAGCUAGUUGGUGAGGUAAAGGCUCACCAAGGCGACGAUCUGUAGCGGGUCUGAGAGGACGAUCAGCCACACUGGGACUGAGACACGGCCCAGACUCCUACGGGAGGCAGCAGUGGGGAAUAUUGCGCAAUGGCGAAAGCCUGACGCAGCCACGCCGCGUGAGUGAUGAA
RNAcentral lists this ribosomal RNA (379 nucleotides) under uncultured bacterium. Its description in RNAcentral is "bacterial SSU rRNA". It matches the Rfam family "Bacterial small subunit ribosomal RNA", at positions 30 to 412 of the family's 1533-position model. The record is from RNAcentral.